AUUGUCUGAUUACAUCGCUCCGCAACCCAUGGUGGGUUAUCAACCAAUGAAGUUUGAGUUCCCUGAUGAGGACAUCUCGAGGUGCUCCAAUCGAAAGAUUGAGAGUAACCGAUCCCGGAGGAGGGGCCUGACCCUGAAUCCGAACGGAUUCUGAUGUCUGAUGGGGAGGUUAAGGUGAAUGAGUUUUUGUUGCCCAGACAACGUUUGAA
This 209-nucleotide long non-coding RNA is filed under the name Lathyrus oleraceus (garden pea). Its description in RNAcentral is "Pisum sativum (pea) long non-coding RNA (PSAT_LNC041580)". The record is from RNAcentral. Lineage: Eukaryota; Viridiplantae; Streptophyta; Magnoliopsida; Fabales; Fabaceae.